CCCUAGUCACCUUUUUUCUUUCUUUCUCCUUUAUGAUUUUUAAUACAUUUUUCUUGAUGAAGAAGCCAGUGGCACUUCCAAAGUUUGCAACGUGUAUAUUGUGCACUUUGGUUGGCCCAAUAAAGGUAUCCCUGUUUUAGUGGAUUUUGGAUAUUAGUGACCAUGGCGUUUAUUCAAUGGGCUUCUUUGCCAUGUCCAAAAUGGAAAACAUUUUUGAACUCCUGGACAGAAGGUUUAAAUGUAGGAAAUGUCUUGGAAAAGGAGGACAUCAUCGUGAACAUAUGCUCUAUCUCCAUGCUUUUUUUUGUCUCAAAGGCCAAAUAACCAGUUGCAUGUAACAAGAAGUUAAGUACAGUGUUGUUUCUCUGUUGUCUAGCAUCCUUCUUCUUUGGGCAGUAAACCUUUUUGUCUUUCCAGCAAUGCAGAUUGGAGGCAAGCAGUCCUAAUACAGAGAUCAAGAUGGCAAGUCGUCCUGAGGAGCAAAGUGUACUGGCUCGGCCACCUCCUGUUACAAAUGGUUUACCACAGGAUGCAACUUUGGGCGCCGCUGCCAUCCAUCAUGGUGCCAGCGCUGGCAUUCGCAACGUCCUGGAGAGUCAUAGAGUCCUCCGAACACCCCUGCGAAGCCAGCAAGAGAAGGGGACCAUAGAGGACAGGCUGAAGGUGUACUGCUACCUGCCCAAGAGGCGGGAGCCCCAUGGAUUCUAUUUGUCCCGCUCGAUUCCUUCCAAAGUGGAUUGUUUCUGGAAGAAGAGAGCCACGGAGGCCAGCCAGGACUGACCCUUCUGCUCCUCUGACAAAUUUCCAAAGCUCUGCGCCAUGAGGUGGCCCACCGCACCUUUCCCUUUCCCGAAGCAAGCGUUCACGAUAAUGAUGGUUUUAUCGGAAGAUUGUGCCUUCAGAAUCGCCAUGUUGAGGAGCAUUGGAUGGACAGCGCUUCACGCUCAGCAACCAGGUUGUUGUUGUGCCUUUCCUUGUACCCACCUUCUGUAUCUUGUUCUUAAAAACAAGUAGAUAAAUUGUUCCGGUUCCAAAGGUACAAAGAGAGAGGAGCCUUUCUCCUUCUGUUGGAGGGAUAGAGAUUAAUAUGAGAUUGUAUUGUAUUGUAUGAAAUAUUCCUCCUUCUAUUUAUCUCAGGCUUUAGCACUUACUUUUGUAAUAAAGGAUGUGAAA
Sceloporus undulatus (fence lizard) is the source of this 1173-nucleotide long non-coding RNA. RefSeq lists it as uncharacterized. The transcript is spliced from 3 exons. NCBI's taxonomy places the organism in Eukaryota, Metazoa, Chordata, Lepidosauria, Squamata, Phrynosomatidae. The record is from RefSeq and is a predicted model, not a curated record.